This 253-nucleotide ribosomal RNA is filed under the name uncultured bacterium. RNAcentral describes it as "partial 16S ribosomal RNA". It matches the Rfam family "Bacterial small subunit ribosomal RNA", at positions 524 to 776 of the family's 1533-position model. The record is from RNAcentral.
CACGUAGGGUGCGAGCGUUGUCCGGAUUUAUUGGGCGUAAAGAGCUCGUAGGCGGCUUGUUGCGUCGACCGUGAAAACCCGGGGCUCAACUUCGGGCUUGCGGUCGAUACGGGCGGGCUAGAGUUCGGUAGGGGAGACUGGAAUUCCUGGUGUAGCGGUGAAAUGCGCAGAUAUCAGGAGGAACACCGGUGGCGAAGGCGGGUCUCUGGGCCGAUACUGACGCUGAGGAGCGAAAGCGUGGGGAGCGAACAGG